CAGCCGCCGCGGUAAUACGUAGGGAGCAAGCGUUGUCCGGAAUUAUUGGGCGUAAAGCGCGCGCAGGCGGUUUUUUAAGUCUGGUGUCUAAGUGCGGGGCUCAACCCCGUGACGCACUGGAAACUGGGAGACUUGAGUGCAGAAGAGGAGAGCGGAAUCCCACGUGUAGCGGUGAAAUGCGUAGAGAUGUGGAGGAACACCAGUGGCGAAGGCGACUCUCUGGUCUGUAACUGACGCUGAGGAGCGAAAGCGUGGGGAGCGAACAGGAUUAGAUACCCGCGUAGUCCCUGUCUCUUAUACA
This 301-nucleotide ribosomal RNA is filed under the name uncultured bacterium. RNAcentral describes it as "partial 16S ribosomal RNA". It matches the Rfam family "Bacterial small subunit ribosomal RNA", at positions 509 to 808 of the family's 1533-position model. The record is from RNAcentral.